UUCUGUAGUUGCUUCCGGACCGAAGGCGGCGUCGAAUUGGUACACCUUGCCGUUUCCGGGGCCUGCGGCUGCUGGACACUCGAGGGUGCAGCAUUUUGACGCAGAAUCGAUCGUUACCACGUUCUGCGCAGGUGAAAAAAAUACGAUAGCUCUUUAAUAGCUGUCAAAGUUGCUGUUUCCAGUAUACCGCAAAGUAUACCGUUUGCAGUAUAUAACGAGAGAACGCGAAGACGCAGAGGGAAUAGAAAAAGAAAAAGGAUAGAGACGCGAAAAGUAACGAGGAUCGGAGGAAGAACGGAAAAGAAAUAAGAGGCUAGAACCAAGAAAGAAGAGCGCAAUGGCGUGUAAUAUCACAUCAUAUCAUGUGUAAUAAUGUAAGAUCGAAGUACAGAUAUAGCGCGAUAUACUGCAGCAUGAAUUAAGGUCACUGUACAUUUACGAAACACCGUCACUUGGAAAAAUAUGUUUUCUUAAGUUCGUAGUGUGCAUGCAUGUAGGUUUCCGUUGUGCAAAUAUUUUUCUGUUUAGUCCAUUCUUAAAAGCGAACUACGCGUAUAAAGGAGGAUAAAUAUUCACAAAUGUUCCUGCCUUUAUUAAUAACAGGGUUUUUGUAAAUUUCAUCUGAGCGGAAUAUCGAUCGAGCAAAAGACUUUGCCUUUCAAAUUAAAACCUAUAACUGCACUCCCGUAAUUUACAAGCAACGCGUGCAACAACGAUUAAAGUUAUUUAAUUUUUUUUAUAAAACUAAUCGAUCGACGUGAUUUAUCAAUCACGUUAUAUCGCGACACUUCUAUACUCGUUAUGCAAAAACUAUCUGUGUAAUGUGGCUAUUAUUUGCAACGUCGGUUUAGCGAUAGUUCGUAGUUCGUACUCGUAUCGAUUGAAUUUCGCGGAAAUAAUAAUAAAACGCGAUUGUCGCUUCUUUCUGUUUCAGUAUUGUAACUAAAUUAUCGAUUCGAGCUUCUUUUCCCAUUUUUCGUCCGAUACGUCGAGUAAAUAAGUUUCGCAGAUAUAAUUAAAAGCCAGCUGCCUGUUAAUUUCAAAUGUAGAUUAGUUUCAAACCAAGUACUCUGAUUAAAAUUUCCGUAGUGACACGUGAUUCAACAACGUUGGUCGAGAGUUAAACCUGAUAUAACAAAGUGAAACUAAAUUACCUUAAAAUUAAAUUAAAAUUGUAGAGCGGGAUACGAUCCAACAAAAUAUUAAUUAACAAUUAACACUUGACAUAAUAAAUACUCUGAAUGCAUCGAACAGCAAAAUAUGAAAUAACGAAUAUUUUUCCUGAUAAUUCCUGUAUCUUAAAUCAUUUUACCUUUCUAUAUGCAUUAUCAAACUUAAUAAAAUUGAACGAAUACAGCGCACGAAUUCUUUCAACAAAGAAAAACAUUCUACACUUCUUAAGUAAUGAAAAACAAACGUAAAUACAAUUAAAAGAACAGAAAACUUUUAUUCUAUCUGUCACGUGUUGACUCGAAGUCCCUUUCCACUUUCAUCGUACGUCGAUCAACGUAGCUCGCAGCUAUGUAUCACGGGCCAUCGUGUACAGUGAGUCGUCAUUAAAUUUACUAUUCCAUAAGAUAUUCAGAAGGUAACGUAGGCACGCUAAGCUGAUCGGUGCAUACACGAUGCAUAGAUAGUGGUAUCGAACCGCGUCGUUGCACACAUCAUUUUACAUGCCUAUAUAUAUGUAUAUAGUUUACAUACGUAUUCACAUGCUUAUCGAUGAAGCGGAAUAUAUGCCAAAUCGAUGGAAAGCCA
Molecule: long non-coding RNA, 1758 nt
Organism: Bombus huntii
Lineage: Eukaryota; Metazoa; Arthropoda; Insecta; Hymenoptera; Apidae
Exons: 2
Source: RefSeq, a predicted model, not a curated record